Molecule: ribosomal RNA, 664 nt
Filed under: uncultured bacterium
Lineage: Bacteria
Description: bacterial SSU rRNA
Rfam family: Bacterial small subunit ribosomal RNA
Source: RNAcentral
UGCAAGUCGUGCGAGAAAACCCCUUAGGGGGUGAGUACAGCGGCGGACGGGUGAGUAACACGUGAGCGAUCUACCCGGUGGCGGGGGACAACCCAGGGAAACCUGGACUAAUACCGCAUACAGCGGAGGGAGUAGGUGCCCUUCGUGAAAGCUGGCCUCUCCAUGGAAGCUAGCGUCGCCGGAGGAGCUCGCGGCCUAUCAGCUAGUUGGUGGGGUAAAGGCCUACCAAGGCGAUGACGGGUAGCUGACGUGAGAGCGUGACCAGCCACACUGGGACUGAGACACGGCCCAGACUCCUACGGGAGGCAGCAGUGGGGAAUAUUGCGCAAUGGGCGAAAGCCUGACGCAGCGACGCCGCGUGGGGGAGGAAGGCCCUAGGGUUGUAAACCCCUGUCAGGUGGGACGAACCCUGGGUCGACGAAUAGUUGGCUCAGCUGACGGUACCAUCAGAGGAAGCUCCGGCUAACUCCGUGCCAGCAGCCGCGGUAACACGGGGGGAGCAAGCGUUGUUCGGAAUCACUGGGCGUAAAGCGCGCGUAGGCGGCCGAGUAAGUCGUAUGUGAAAGCCCGGGGCUCAACUCCGGUAUUGCAUGCGAUACUGCCCGGCUGGAGAAAGGUAGAGGCAAGUGGAAUUCCCGGUGUAGCGGUGGAAUGCGUAGAUAUC